This 490-nucleotide ribosomal RNA is filed under the name uncultured bacterium. RNAcentral's name for it is "partial 16S ribosomal RNA". It matches the Rfam family "Bacterial small subunit ribosomal RNA", at positions 29 to 505 of the family's 1533-position model. The record is from RNAcentral.
AGUGAACGCUGGCGGUAGGCCUAACACAUGCAAGUCGAACGGCAGCACAGUAAGAGCUUGCUCUUACGGGUGGCGAGUGGCGGACGGGUGAGGAAUACAUCGGAAUCUACUUUUUCGUGGGGGAUAACGUAGGGAAACUUACGCUAAUACCGCAUACGACCUACGGGUGAAAGCAGGGGAUCUUCGGACCUUGCGCGAUUGAAUGAGCCGAUGUCGGAUUAGCUAGUUGGCGGGGUAAAGGCCCACCAAGGCGACGAUCCGUAGCUGGUCUGAGAGGAUGAUCAGCCACACUGGAACUGAGACACGGUCCAGACUCCUACGGGAGGCAGCAGUGGGGAAUAUUGGACAAUGGGCGCAAGCCUGAUCCAGCCAUACCGCGUGGGUGAAGAAGACCUUCGGGUUGUAAAGCCCUUUUGUUGGGAAAGAAAAGCAGCAGGUUAAUACCCCGCUGUUCUGACGGUACCCAAAGAAUAAGCACCGGCUAACUUCG